This is a long non-coding RNA of Venturia canescens, 930 nucleotides long. RefSeq lists it as uncharacterized. The transcript is spliced from 3 exons. The record is from RefSeq and is a predicted model, not a curated record. Lineage: Eukaryota; Metazoa; Arthropoda; Insecta; Hymenoptera; Ichneumonidae.
AUCAACGCGCAGCAGUGUUUCAAGAGACUCUUACGCGGACAAUCCGGUUUUUCGCUCAUCGCGCGGCGUGCUCAUCGAGAUCCAACACACAGUGGCGUUCACUCAUAAACGUUGAGUUCGAAUAGCCGACAGGGGAGAAGGUUAAACGAUACAGAGAUUGGUCACCCGGGAAGAUGAAAAAAAAAAAAAAAAAAAAAAAAAACAAGCAAAAAUCAUUAUUGACAUUCCUCUCAUUUUCUCGUUCGUUUUUCUCGCAACCUUUUACUGCGCGGACUAGCCAAUCGCUGAAGGGUGGCUAAUAGUUGUCAGUAUUCGUCUCGACAUUCUGAACGGGGGUCAAAAGGCUGUAGGCCAAGCUCAAACACGAUCAGAGUCGUCUUGGAUAGCAAAGGAAAUCGCUUCGCAUUUUUAUCAGAAAAUUCUUGUAAUUAACUUUUGAUUGUUUGCAGAUCUGUUACGCUACCAUCGCACCCUGAAGUGAUGGACUUUUUAAAUUAGUUUGGCGAGAGGCAGGAUGCCAGGGAGACAAGGACUGUGAUGGAAGAGAAAUCGAUCUACGAGGAGCUGAUACGCACUGUUUGUCGUUAUAAUUCAAGAGGCACGAUUUUCCAUGUCAUCAGGAUUCUCCUUCCUUUGAUAUCCCCUUUCAUGCAACCCUCGGGAUAAACACGAUGAAGAAGUGCACGCUGCAAUUCUUUUGGACGCGUAAACCAUAACGUAUCAGAACGUGAAAUGUCAUAUGCAAACAAGAGGGGCAAAUUGCAAAGGAUUUUACGAAACAAACACGCCGCAAUAUAAGUUUGGAGUGUCAUUUCGUGUGCUUGUUACGAUUCGCACUGCCAUGAGCAUACUCUUCAUUAUUCGACAGGAUGAAACCUAUAUGCGAUUUUUCACGUAUGACGUUGGAGUAUUCCACCACCACUGGAACUU